Molecule: small nuclear RNA, 108 nt
Organism: Zalophus californianus (California sea lion)
Lineage: Eukaryota; Metazoa; Chordata; Mammalia; Carnivora; Otariidae
Source: Ensembl
GCGCUCGCUUUGGCAGCACAUACACUAAAACUGGAGUGAUACAGAGAAGCUUAGCUGGGCCUCUGCGCGAGGAUGACACGCAGAUGCCAUGUGGUUCCUCCAGGCCUC